CCAUUGGAGGACUGUGAAAUUAUUUCCUAUCUUCUGGAUGGUCUUGACACAGCCUAUGACCCCCUUAUUACGUCCAUUACGACAAGGGUAGAUCUUAUGACACUUGAUGAUGUCUUUGGCCACCUAUUAAAUUAUGAGG
Molecule: small nucleolar RNA, 139 nt
Organism: Juglans microcarpa x Juglans regia
Lineage: Eukaryota; Viridiplantae; Streptophyta; Magnoliopsida; Fagales; Juglandaceae
Product: small nucleolar RNA Z247
Exons: 1
Source: RefSeq, a predicted model, not a curated record